GUAAGGUAACGGCUCACCAAGGCGACGAUGCGUAGCCGACCUGAGAGGGUGAUCGGCCACACUGGGACUGAGACACGGCCCAGACUCCUACGGGAGGCAGCAGUAGGGAAUCUUCCGCAAUGGACGAAAGUCUGACGGAGCAACGCCGCGUGAGUGAUGAAGGUUUUCGGAUCGUAAAGCUCUGUUGUUAGGGAAGAACAAGUACCGUUCGAAUAGGGCGGUACCUUGACGGUACCUAACCAGAAAGCCACGGCUAACUACGUGCCAGCAGCCGCGGUAAUACGUAGGUGGCAAGCGUUGUCCGGAAUUAUUGGGCGUAAAGCGCGCGCAGGCGGUUUCUUAAGUCUGAUGUGAAAGCCCCCGGCUCAACCGGGGAGGGUCAUUGGAAACUGGGGAACUUGAGUGCAGAAGAGGAGAGU
This 419-nucleotide ribosomal RNA is filed under the name Bacillus sp. (in: firmicutes). RNAcentral describes it as "bacterial SSU rRNA". It matches the Rfam family "Bacterial small subunit ribosomal RNA", at positions 252 to 662 of the family's 1533-position model. The record is from RNAcentral. Lineage: Bacteria; Bacillati; Bacillota; Bacilli; Caryophanales; Bacillaceae.